UACGUAGGGUGCAAGCGUUGUCCGGAAUUAUUGGGCGUAAAGAGCUCGUAGGCGGUUUGUCGCGUCUGCUGUGAAAACGCGAGGCUCAACCUCGCGCCUGCAGUGGGUACGGGCAGACUAGAGUGCGGUAGGGGAGAUUGGAAUUCCUGGUGUAGCGGUGGAAUGCGCAGAUAUCAGGAGGAACACCGAUGGCGAAGGCAGAUCUCUGGCCGUAACUGACGCUGAGGAGCGAAAGCGUGGGGAGCGAACAGG
Molecule: ribosomal RNA, 252 nt
Filed under: uncultured bacterium
Lineage: Bacteria
Description: partial 16S ribosomal RNA
Rfam family: Bacterial small subunit ribosomal RNA
Source: RNAcentral